CAGCAGCCGCGGUAAUACGAAGGGGGCUAGCGUUGUUCGGAAUUACUGGGCGUAAAGCGCACGUAGGCGGACAUUUAAGUCAGGGGUGAAAUCCCGGGGCUCAACCCCGGAACUGCCUUUGAAACUAGGUGACUAGAAUCUUGGAGAGGUCAGUGGAAUUCCGAGUGUAGAGGUGAAAUUCGUAGAUAUUCGGAAGAACACCAGUGGCGAAGGCGACUGACUGGACAAGUAUUGACGCUGAGGUGCGAAAGCGUGGGGAGCAAACAGGAUUAGAUACCCCAGUAGUCCCUGUCUCUUAUAC
RNAcentral lists this ribosomal RNA (301 nucleotides) under uncultured bacterium. RNAcentral's name for it is "partial 16S ribosomal RNA". It matches the Rfam family "Bacterial small subunit ribosomal RNA", at positions 509 to 807 of the family's 1533-position model. The record is from RNAcentral.